Molecule: unclassified non-coding RNA, 464 nt
Filed under: Hevea brasiliensis (rubber tree)
Lineage: Eukaryota; Viridiplantae; Streptophyta; Magnoliopsida; Malpighiales; Euphorbiaceae
Source: RNAcentral
UUUUUUUAAAAAAAAAAAGGAUUUAUACUUAAUAAUAUUAGUUCUCCUGCAGGGUUACAAUAUCGGUGGUUGGUUGUUAACAAAACCCCACACCACCGUCAGAAAAAAUUACAAACUUGGAGAUUUAAUUUACUUAAAUGUCUAAAACCCAGAUAGUUUUCAUGGGUCAUCUUCUUUCUUGGGUUGGAGGGGGAAAAAAUAGCACCCAAAGAAAGAAUAAUUAUAAAAGAGAAAAUUAAACCAGAGAAGCAGUGAAGCAGCUUCAUCUCUACAGCCAUUAAUUUUCUCCAAACAGUGUAGAUCAUAAACCUAUAAUUAAACCUGAGCAAGAAAAAUGCAAUUAAUUAACUUCUUCCUCAUCUGAGCAUGGAUGUUAGGGACUGAAAAACUUCUUCUUGGCAAGGAAUGGUGAGACCCAUAUCAUGAUCAAACCCAAAUUCCUCUUCUGCUUGUUGAAGCAAGCU